UUCUAUUGAAUAAUUCUGUACGCAUAGCAACACUCUUUUAAUUUAUAGCACUGAGACUUUAAAUGUGAUACUUGCAUUAUAGCUAUAAGUCAUAGAGUUCCUUAUCUAGUUAGUUUGAAUAAAAGUGAAGUUCAUUUUGCUUUAAUACAUUCAGAUGUGUGAGAACCUUCCCUAAUAACUACUUAUCUAAUCAUUGAUGGUUUGUGAUCUUUAUUAACGAUUGUAGUGGAAUGACAUGACUUUAUUCGCUGAAAAAUAAAGAUGAAGUGUUUGGUAUGUUUCAAUCCUUUCAUGUCAUGGUUAAGGCACAAUUUUCAGCUAAGAUCCAGGUCCUUCGUACUGACAAUUGCUGUAAAUAUGUCAGCCAACAAUUUAAAUCAUAGUUUUAAAACCAUGAUCUUCUUCAUGAAACCUCAUGUUCUCAGAUUCCACAAAAGAACGACAAUGUCGAGAAAGAGAAUCGACAUAUAAUAGAAUCUACAUGGGCUUUGCUGAUCGAGGCACAUGUAUCUCAUUGCCAUUGGGAUGAUGCUGUCGCCACGAUAGUACAUCUCUUGAAUCACAUGCCUUCGAAAAUCUUAAACUUUGAGACUCCUUUGCAUGUUCUUUCUACCCAUGUACCAUUGCCACUAUUUUAAUGAUUCCUUCCUGAAUUUUUGGUCGGGUCGUCCUUGUUAAUCUUCAUAAGAAUCAAUGUAAUAAGUUGAACUGAUGUGAAAUUCGUUGUCUAGUUGUGGGGUAAGGGUAUUGGUGCUAUGACCUCGUCACCAAAGAAACCUGCAUUACUAUGGAUGUUACCUUUCUCGAGGCAAACACAGUCUUUCCAUCACCAACAUCCAAUUCAACUCUUCAAGGGGAGCUUGGAGAUAGAGAGAAAAAUUAGUUGGAUGUUGAAUGGCCAGGAUUUGAAAACAAUUCAACAUAAUAAAGAGAUGGAAAAAAAAAAUGAUAGAUCAGAAUAUGGAGAACUUUCCGGGAGUUGGAAUAACUUAAGGAGCUUAUAUGACUCCAAAGGCUGAACAUAUAUCUUUGGAAUUGAAAAAUAUUGAGUUGAAGGAAUCCUUUGUUAAUGAAUUUUCUUAUUCUUCAGCACUCGAAAGCCCAGCUCCUAAGAGUAUUCUUGAGGUAAGCUCUCCUAUCACAUCUUCACAUAUUGAUGCUUUGGAUACUUCUACGAGUUAUGUUUUACCCUUUAGACAUAAUCGUGGCAAGCUACCAAGUCGGUACUAUCCAUACGUAGAAAGAAAAAAAAAAAAUCCAAGUAUUCGAUUGCUAAUUUUAUAUCUACUUAACGAUUAUCUGAAUCUCUCAAGGCAUUUGCACAUCAAUUAUCUUUCUGCUAUAUUCCCAAUAACGUUGAAAAUGCUUUACCAAAUCCAAGAUGUGCUCAAGCCAUAAAGGAAGAAUUGGGGGCUCAGUGGAAAAAUAACACCUGGAAGUUAGUUUUACUACCUAAAUGAAAGAAUGCAAUGGGAUGCAAAUGGGUUUUCACCAUUAAUACAACGUUGAUGGGUCCAUUGAUCGACAUAAGGCAAGGCUCGUGACAAAAGAAUAUACACAAAUAUACGGUAUAUAUUACCAAGAGACUUUCUCACCAGUGGUUAAAUUAAACACUGUUAGAGUUUUAUUAUCUCUUAUAGUAAAUUUAGAUUUGCCAUUGCACUUAUUCAACAUAAAGGAUGCCUUCCUCCAUAGCGACCUCAAAUAAGAUGUUUACAUGGACAUUCCACCAAGGUACAAUGCAUCUUCAGAGGUGAAAAUUGUGUGUAAGUUGCAACGAGCUUUGUAUGAAUUGAAACAAUCACCUCAGGCAUGGUUUGGUCGAUUUAGCUCGACUAUGAGAAAAUAUGACUUCCAACGGAGCAAUUCGGACCACACUCUAUUCUUAAAACAUUUAUUAAGAAAAGAAAUAACUCUAAUAGUCUAUGUAGAUGAUAUAACUAUUACAGUGGAUGAUGCUGAAGAGAUCUCUAGACUUCAAGACCAAAUUAACCAAAUUUGAGAUGAAGAACCUGGGAGAUUAAGACACGGCAUAUUUCUUUCUCAAAGAAAAUAUAUAUUAGACUUGAUGUUCGAAGUGGGAUUAUUCAAGUGUAAAUCGGUCGGUACUCCAAUUGUUCAGAAUCAUAAACUUGGAAAAUAUAGGGAUCAGGCACCAGUCAAUAAAGAGAGGUACUAAAGACUAGUUGGCAAGCUCAUUUACUGUUCUCUUAUGCUCCCGAAUAUUGCUUAAGCUGCAAGUAUAGUGCUCCAAUUUAUGUACUGCCCUAGUAAAGAGCAUAUAUAUGUAGUAAUUCAUAUUCAUCCCUAUUUGAAGUCCUAUCCUAGAAAAUGGCUUAUGUUCUCCAAGAAUAAGAUGUUGACUGAGCAGGAAAUAUAUCGAAUAGAAAGUCUACUUUUGGCUACUUUACCUUUGUCGGGGGCAACCUUGUUACAUGGAGAAGCAAAAGCAAAAGGUAGUAGUAUUAUCAAGUGCUAAAGGAGAAUUUCAGGGAACGGUGAAAGGUUUUUGUGAACUAUUUUGGCUCAAAAUGUUGUUAAUUGAGAUUGGCUUUGCAUUUAGCUCUGAAAUGUACUUAUUUCAGGAUAACAAGGCAGCCACAGUCAUUUCCCAUAAUUCCGUCCAACAUGAUUGUACUAACCAUGUUGAUGUUGAUGAGCACAUCAUCGAACAGAAUCUUGACGAAAAAGUUGUUUGGUUCCCUUUGUCAAGGCAGAAGACCAGUUGGUGGACAUACUCACGAAGAUCGAGUCUAGCAAUAACUUCUACAACUCACUCGACAAGUUAAGCAUUAAAGAUCUUUAUGUACCAACUUGAGGGGAGUGUUGAUUUGAGCUAUUAACAGAGAAUAGGAUAGAGAUAAUAUAGGAACCCUUUAAUUGUAAAAUCCCACACUUUAAGGGAUACCCAUAAUUCUAGCCUUAGACAAUGUAUAGCCUAUAAUAGCUUCCUAAACUUCCUCUCUGUAUCUAUAUAUCGUGUACUCAAUCUGCAGA
This 2997-nucleotide long non-coding RNA is filed under the name Olea europaea subsp. europaea. Lineage: Eukaryota; Viridiplantae; Streptophyta; Magnoliopsida; Lamiales; Oleaceae. The record is from RNAcentral.